CAGUCGCCGCGGUAAUACGGAGGGUGCGAGCGUUAAUCGGAAUUACUGGGCGUAAAGCGUACGCAGGCGGUUUGUUAAGUCAGAUGUGAAAUCCCCGAGCUUAACUCGGGAACUGCAUUUGAAACUGGCAGGCUAGAGUCUCGUAGAGGGGGGUAGAAUUCCAGGUGUAGCGGUGAAAUGCGUAGAGAUCUGGAGGAAUACCGGUGGCGAAGGCGGCCCCCUGGACGAAGACUGACGCUCAGGUAAGAAAGCGUGGGGAGCAAACAGGAUUAGAUACCCGCGUAGUCCCUGUCUCUUAUAC
Molecule: ribosomal RNA, 301 nt
Filed under: uncultured bacterium
Lineage: Bacteria
Description: partial 16S ribosomal RNA
Rfam family: Bacterial small subunit ribosomal RNA
Source: RNAcentral